GGGGGGAGCGCAGGAUCCUGGGAUGUUUCCCCCGGUGCCCUGGGAUCCAGGGCCUGCAUUGCUGGAAUCCUGCUCCAGGGGCUGCGCAGCCCCCU
This 95-nucleotide microRNA precursor is filed under the name Canis lupus dingo (dingo). Its description in RNAcentral is "mir-8799 microRNA precursor family". It matches the Rfam family "mir-8799 microRNA precursor family". The record is from Rfam by way of RNAcentral. Lineage: Eukaryota; Metazoa; Chordata; Mammalia; Carnivora; Canidae.